RNAcentral lists this ribosomal RNA (253 nucleotides) under uncultured bacterium. Its description in RNAcentral is "partial 16S ribosomal RNA". It matches the Rfam family "Bacterial small subunit ribosomal RNA", at positions 524 to 776 of the family's 1533-position model. The record is from RNAcentral.
UACGGAGGGUGCAAGCGUUAUCCGGAUUCACUGGGCGUAAAGCGCGCGUAGGCGGCUUUGCAAGUCGGGUGUGAAAGCCCUCAGCUCAACUGAGGAAGUGCGCCCGAAACUGCAGAGCUUGAGUGCCGGAGAGGGUGGCGGAAUUCCCCAAGUAGAGGUGAAAUUCGUAGAUAUGGGGAGGAACACCGGUGGCGAAGGCGGCCACCUGGACGGUAACUGACGCUGAGGCGCGAAAGCGUGGGUAGCAAACAGG